CGGUGGCGAAGUGGUUAGCGCACUUGCCUUUCACCUCUAAGGCCGCAGGUUCGAAUCUCAAUGAGGACUUCUCAUUGUGACUGGAACCCAGUCCUAAUGUGAAAAGAGUAAGUCAACGCUCUGCCGAAAGUCGUGGGUUUUCUCCGGGUACUCCGUGUUUCCUCCCACAGGGAAAGUUGACAGGGUGGGGUAGGCACAUAAGGUCUGGAGACAGAUCAUUAAUGAGGUAUGGACUAAUAGCGGCUGCUCAAGCGCCAUUUGUAAGCUCAAAGUCUACCUCGGUCUGCUUCACGUCAGUCCCGUUGAUCUAUCUAAUCAUAAUGUAAAACUUCUGCAAUUCAGUGUAUGCUGCCAUGGAAGUUCAAAUAUACUAUUGAAUGACAAAAUACAAACACAAUUUGGAUCAUUCAAAAGGUUUAAAAAACAUGAUUACAAAAUAG
Paramuricea clavata is the source of this 440-nucleotide non-coding RNA. Lineage: Eukaryota; Metazoa; Cnidaria; Anthozoa; Malacalcyonacea; Plexauridae. The record is from the annotation of a GenBank genome assembly.